UCGGGAAUUUUGGGCAAUGGGCGCAAGCCUGAUCCAGCCAUGCCGCGUGAGUGAUGAAGGCCCUAGGGUUGUAAAACUCUUUCGUGGGGACGAUAAUGACGGUACCCCAAGAAGAAGCUCCGGCUAACUUCGUGCCAGCAGCCGCGGUAAUACGAAGGGGGCUAGCGUUGUUCGGAUUUACUGGGCGUAAAGCGCGUGUAGGCGGGCUGGAAAGCUGGGGGUGAAAUCCCGAGGCUCAACCUCGGAACUGCCUCCAAAACUUCCAGCCUGGACUCAAGUAGAGGCAAGUGGAAUUGCGAGUGUAGAGGUGAAAUUCGUAGAUAUUCGCAGGAACACCAGUGGCGAAGGCGACUUGCUGGACUUGUAGUGACGCUGAGACGCGAAAGCGUGGGGAGCAAACAGGAUUAGAUACCCUAGUAGUCCCUGAGCGGGCUGGCAAGGCGCAU
Molecule: ribosomal RNA, 446 nt
Filed under: uncultured bacterium
Lineage: Bacteria
Description: bacterial SSU rRNA
Rfam family: Bacterial small subunit ribosomal RNA
Source: RNAcentral